AUCCAGCUGAUGAGUCCCAAAUAGAACGAGACUUGCGUCCUGGAU
RNAcentral lists this non-coding RNA (45 nucleotides) under Schistosoma mattheei. The record is from RNAcentral. Lineage: Eukaryota; Metazoa; Platyhelminthes; Trematoda; Strigeidida; Schistosomatidae.